GGGGGUGAAUGGUCUCGACUCCGGUCGUCGAGACAGGGGAAGCGGGCCGAGGACCGCAUUGCUGACCUCGAUAAAAAAGCGAUGCACAACAAAAUAAGCGCCGAUUCUCAUCGCGCUGACUUCGCUCUCGCUGCCUAAGCAGUAGAGCAAGUCUGUCGGCCCGGGCUCGUCACCGUCCCGGUCGCCGGCAUCAGCUAGGUGACUCACCGUCCCCGCCGGCCGCGGGAGGGGACGGGACAACUCACAGCGGCUGGGCCUGUCACUGACGUCUGGUGUGCGUGAUCGUCGGGGCCGAGCAGAGGCAGAGCACACUGCGCCCGGAGAAGUCCUGUUGAAGCGGCGGAGGACGCGGGUUCGAUUCCCGCCACCUCCACGA
This 376-nucleotide transfer-messenger RNA is filed under the name Jatrophihabitans endophyticus. RNAcentral describes it as "Standard tmRNA". It matches the Rfam family "transfer-messenger RNA". Rfam says of the family: Bacterial tmRNA, also known as 10Sa RNA or SsrA, is named for its dual tRNA and mRNA-like properties. Its role is to liberate the mRNA from a stalled ribosome. Lineage: Bacteria; Bacillati; Actinomycetota; Actinomycetes; Jatrophihabitantales; Jatrophihabitantaceae. The record is from Rfam by way of RNAcentral.